AGCUCCAAUAGCGUAUAUUAAAGUUGUUGCAGUUAAAAAGCUCGUAGUUGGAUUUCGGGAUAGAAUGCACGGUGGGCCGCAAGGUUUUACUGGACGUUCUGUUCUUCCUUCUGUAGACCACCGUUGUUCUUAACUGAAUGGCGGCCGGGAUGCAGAUCUUUUACUUUGAAUAAAUUAGAGUGUUCAAAGCAGGCAUUUGUUUGAAUACGUUAGCAUGGAAUAAUGGAAUAGGACUUUGGUUCUAUUUUGUUGGUUUCUAGGACCGAAGUAAUGAUUAAUAGGGAUAGUUGGGGGCAUUAAUAUUUAAUUGUCAGAGGUGAAAUUCUUGGAUUUAUGAAAGAUUAACUUCUGCGAAAGCAUUUGCCAAGGAUGUUUUCAUUAAUCAAGAACGAAAGUACGC
Molecule: ribosomal RNA, 400 nt
Filed under: phytoplankton environmental sample
Lineage: Eukaryota
Description: partial small subunit ribosomal RNA
Rfam family: Eukaryotic small subunit ribosomal RNA
Source: RNAcentral